Molecule: ribosomal RNA, 200 nt
Filed under: uncultured bacterium
Lineage: Bacteria
Description: partial 16S ribosomal RNA
Rfam family: Bacterial small subunit ribosomal RNA
Source: RNAcentral
AGAGUUUGAUCCAGGCUCAGAGCGAACGCUGGCGGCAGGCCUAACACAUGCAAGUCGAGCGGCCGUAGCAAUACGGCAGCGGCAGACGGGAGAGUAACACGUGGGAACGUACCCUUUGGUUCGGAAUAACCCAGGGAAACUUGGGCUAAUACCGGAUAAGUCCGUAAGGAGAAAGAUUUAUCGCCAAAGGAUCGGCCCGC